Stegodyphus dumicola is the source of this 221-nucleotide long non-coding RNA. The record is from RefSeq and is a predicted model, not a curated record. NCBI's taxonomy places the organism in Eukaryota, Metazoa, Arthropoda, Arachnida, Araneae, Eresidae.
ACUAGCCUUUAGUCAAAUAGUUUGCUUUAAGCGCAAUAACUUUUACUUCUACUUUCUCUUUCAAUAAGGCGUGCAGCGUGUUAAGGUCUAAUUCCGCAGUCUCGGAUUAAUUUUAUUUAAAAUUCAUCAUGAUUAUCUUUAAAGAUCUCAUUACUGGUGAUGAAAUGUUCACAGAUUCAUCGAAAUAUAAGGUUGUGGACGAUUGCUUGUAUGAAGUAGAA